Molecule: ribosomal RNA, 531 nt
Filed under: Salmonella enterica subsp. enterica
Lineage: Bacteria; Pseudomonadati; Pseudomonadota; Gammaproteobacteria; Enterobacterales; Enterobacteriaceae
Also listed under: 2 other names
Description: partial 23S ribosomal RNA
Rfam family: Bacterial large subunit ribosomal RNA (bases 1-366)
Source: RNAcentral
AAUCCAUAGGUUAAUGAGGCGAACCGGGGGAACUGAAACAUCUAAGUACCCCGAGGAAAAGAAAUCAACCGAGAUUCCCCCAGUAGCGGCGAGCGAACGGGGAGGAGCCCAGAGCCUGAAUCAGCAUGUGUGUUAGUGGAAGCGUCUGGAAAGGCGCGCGAUACAGGGUGACAGCCCCGUACACAAAAGCGCAUGUGCUGUGAGCUCGAUGAGUAGGGCGGGACACGUGGUAUCCUGUCUGAAUAUGGGGGGACCAUCCUCCAAGGCUAAAUACUCCUGACUGACCGAUAGUGAACCAGUACCGUGAGGGAAAGGCGAAAAGAACCCCGGCGAGGGGAGUGAAAAAGAACCUGAAACCGUGUACGUACAAGCAGUGGGAGCCCCACCACCAAAGCAUUUGCUGUACCGCGUUGACGGAGCGAAGCGACGUCAAACCGAUAAAACAGCAGUGUAAAGUGAGCCGCAGGGCGCUUUGCGCGACAGCGCAAAGGCAGGCGGUUUCGCGUAGCGAAAGCGAAUGCUUUGGGGUGG